AACAGGAUUAGAUACCCUGGUAGUCUCGGCCCUAAACGAUGAUCACUAGGUGUCAGGGGGUUUCCCUUGGUGCCGCAGCUAACGCAUUAAGUGAUCCGCCUGGGGACUACGGCCGCAAGGUUGAAACUCAAAGGAAUUGGCGGGGGCCCGCACAAGCGGUGGAGCAUAUGGCUUAAUUCGAUGCAACGCGAAGAACCUUACCCAGGCUUGACAUGUAACUGCAAGCUCCCCAAAAGGAGCCGCCUUCGAGGGUGUUACACAGGUGGUGCAUGGCUGUCGUCAGCUCGUGUUGUGAAAUGUUGGGUUAAGUCCCGCAACGAGCGCAACCCUCAUGUUAUGUUGCCAGCGAGUAAUGUCGGGAACUCAUAACAAACUGCCUAUGUAAAUAGGAGGAAGGUGGGGAUGACGUCAAGUCAUCAUGCCCCUUACGCCUGGGGCUGCACGUAUGCUACAAUGGAUGCUACAAACAGUUGCGAACCCGCGAGGGGAAGCUAAUCUGAAAAAAGUAUUCUCAGUUCGGAUUGGAGUCUGCAACUCGACUCCAUGAAGCCGGAAUCGCUAGUAACCGCAGGUCAGCAUUACUGCGGUGAAUACGUUCCCGGGCCUUGCACACACCGCCCGUCACGUGACGAAAGUUGGUUUUGCCCGAAGUCGUUGAGCUAACCGCAAGGAAGCAGACGCCGAAGGUAAAGCCGAUGAUUGGCGCGAAGUCGUAACAAGGUAACC
Molecule: ribosomal RNA, 726 nt
Filed under: uncultured bacterium
Lineage: Bacteria
Description: bacterial SSU rRNA
Rfam family: Bacterial small subunit ribosomal RNA
Source: RNAcentral